CCUACGGGGCGCUGCAGUGGGGAAUAUUGGACAAUGGGCGAAAGCCUGAUCCAGCCAUGCCGCGUGUGUGAAGAAGGCCUUCGGGUUGUAAAGCACUUUCAGUGGGGAAGAAAGCCUUGGGGCUAAUACCCUCGAGGAAGGACAUCACCCACAGAAGAAGCACCGGCUAACUCCGUGCCAGCAGCCGCGGUAAUACGGAGGGUGCGAGCGUUAAUCGGAAUUACUGGGCGUAAAGCGCGCGUAGGCGGUCUGAUAAGCCGGUUGUGAAAGCCCCGGGCUCAACCUGGGAACGGCAUCCGGAACUGUCAGGCUAGAGUGCAGGAGAGGAAGGUAGAAUUCCCGGUGUAGCGGUGAAAUGAGUAGAGAUCGGGAGGAAUACCAGUGGCGAAGGCGGCCUUCUGGACUGACACUGACGCUGAGGUGCGAAAGCGUGGGUAGCAAACAGGAUUAGAUACCCCAGUAGUC
RNAcentral lists this ribosomal RNA (465 nucleotides) under Vreelandella stevensii. Its description in RNAcentral is "partial 16S ribosomal RNA". It matches the Rfam family "Bacterial small subunit ribosomal RNA", at positions 338 to 795 of the family's 1533-position model. Lineage: Bacteria; Pseudomonadati; Pseudomonadota; Gammaproteobacteria; Oceanospirillales; Halomonadaceae. The record is from RNAcentral.